CAAUAGCGUAUAUUAAAGUUGUUGCAGUUAAAAGCUCGUAGUUGGAUUUGUGGCUGUCGCGUGCGGCCUGACACUUUGUGUUAGUGUUUGCUUGCGUCGCCAUCCUUGGGUGGAACCUGUGUGGCAUUAGGUUGUCGUGCAGGGGAUGCCCAUCGUUUACUGUGAAAAAUUAGAGUGUUCAAAGCAGGCUUAUGCCGUUGAAUAUAUUAGCAUGGAAUAAUAAGAUAGGACCUUGGUACUAUUUUGUUGGUUUGCGCACCAAGGUAAUGAUUAAUAGGGACAGUUGGGGGUAUUCGUAUUCCAUUGUCAGAGGUGAAAUUCUUGGAUUUUGGUAAGACGAACUACUGCGAAAGCAUUUACCAAGGAUGUUUUCAUUAAUCAAGAACGAAAGUAUGGGGAUCGAAGACGAUCAGAUACCGU
RNAcentral lists this ribosomal RNA (420 nucleotides) under uncultured eukaryote. RNAcentral's name for it is "SSU rRNA". It matches the Rfam family "Eukaryotic small subunit ribosomal RNA", at positions 592 to 1018 of the family's 1831-position model. The record is from RNAcentral.